GCAUGAACCAUCGCUAUCCGAUCGUGCCCCUUCGUCCGUCGCUUCAUUCGCCCACAUCACACGCCCGCGCAGGUUCCGCUUGCCCCUCCUCCCCCAAAUCACGCUGCCUUCCCAAUCUCUACACCCAACCGCAUCGCCGGCCCUUCUCUGCUUCCACUCCCAGCCGCCGCCUGCCGAUGCUUGCCUCUCACCUUCUGCCCGUUUCCCUUUCUCCCAUUCGCACGCCGCCUCAUGCCCUCCUCUUCAUCACCCUCCUCCCAGAUCUCGUCGCCCUCGCCAUUGCCCUCCACCUCCUCCUCCUCCGCCACGCUGGACACCUCCAUAUAGUUUAGGUGCCGACCCUCAUGCCGCAAGCUCCGCCUCGCUCCCUUCCUCGUCCUCGUGGGCGUCAGCGACGUCCUCUCUCCCCUGCCUUCCUGAGAGGAGGACUACCACGGGGUGGAGCCGCGAGGAGAUCAGUCCGGAGAGGGUUGUCGCAUUGAUCGGCUUCUUCUCUUGUUGGAUUUCUCGUCGGACGUCUAGGCUCGCUCCCUGGCGCGGAGGCCGCACCGGCUCGGUGGCGCCGAUGGCGAGAUGAAGGGCGGGGGCAUCCCUGUCGCGGUGGCAAUCAUGCCCUCGGCGCUCUUCUUCUGGCGGUUUAAGGCUGUAUUGUUUCUCCUAUGGGGCUUAUGUUGUUACAAG
Long non-coding RNA from Phragmites australis (common reed), 681 nucleotides. RefSeq lists it as uncharacterized. The record is from RefSeq and is a predicted model, not a curated record. The transcript has 3 exons. Lineage: Eukaryota; Viridiplantae; Streptophyta; Magnoliopsida; Poales; Poaceae.